This 349-nucleotide long non-coding RNA is filed under the name Pan troglodytes (chimpanzee). RNAcentral describes it as "long non-coding RNA NONPTRT004427". Lineage: Eukaryota; Metazoa; Chordata; Mammalia; Primates; Hominidae. The record is from RNAcentral.
GGCACGCCUACCCAUUAGACAGGCCCUCUCUGUACUGAUGAUGGCAUACAUUAAUUCACAUAUGGAAUUCAAUAAGUGACCAAGCCAGAGCAUGACACAUCUUUUGGAAAUUAUGCCUCGAUGCAUGAUGUGGCCAUCACUUUGUUCAGCCUCAGUUCCCGCGGAGAGCUGCACAGUCAGCCCUGCAGCAUUCGCAACAGUGCAUGGACAAGAUUCCGAUGCAGCUCAGUACCGAUGUGUCUGAUGUGAGUACUGUGGAGGCUGCUGGGAGGUAGCUGAGUAUCCCAUGCUGCUCUGCGGCUGUGAUGUGCUUGGUCCAGGGUUGGGAUAGGCAGCAUGUGGAUUGGAA